This 497-nucleotide ribosomal RNA is filed under the name uncultured bacterium. RNAcentral describes it as "partial 16S ribosomal RNA". It matches the Rfam family "Bacterial small subunit ribosomal RNA", at positions 28 to 507 of the family's 1533-position model. The record is from RNAcentral.
GAUGAACGCUGGCGGCGUGCCUAAUACAUGCAAGUCGAGCGAACAGACGAGGAGCUUGCUCCUCUGACGUUAGCGGCGGACGGGUGAGUAACACGUGGAUAACCUACCUAUAAGACUGGGAUAACUUCGGGAAACCGGAGCUAAUACCGGAUAAUAUAUUGAACCGCAUGGUUCAAUAGAGAAAGACGGUUUUUCUGGCACUUAUAGAUGGUUCUGCGCCGCAUUAGCUAGUUGUUAAGGUAACGGCUUACCAAGGCAACGAUGCGUAGCCGACCUGAGAGGGUGAUCGGCCACACUGGAACUGGGACACGGUCCAGACGCCUGCGGGAGGCAGCAGUAGGGAAUCUUCCGCAAUGGGCGAAAGCUUGGCGGAGCAACGCCGCGUGAGUGAUGAAGAUCUUCGGAUCGUAAAACUCUGUUAUUAGGGAAGAACAAAUGUGUAAGUAACUAUGCACGUCUUGACGGUACCUAAUCAGAAAGCCACGGCUAACUACGUG